RNAcentral lists this ribosomal RNA (958 nucleotides) under Bacillus sp. MBIR2.2. RNAcentral describes it as "bacterial SSU rRNA". It matches the Rfam family "Bacterial small subunit ribosomal RNA", at positions 43 to 1009 of the family's 1533-position model. Lineage: Bacteria; Bacillati; Bacillota; Bacilli; Caryophanales; Bacillaceae. The record is from RNAcentral.
UWWUYYCMUAUAUACAUGCAAGUCGAGCGGACAGAAGGGAGCUUGCUCCCGGAUGUUAGCGGCGGACGGGUGAGUAACACGUGGGUAACCUGCCUGUAAGACUGGGAUAACUCCGGGAAACCGGAGCUAAUACCGGAUAGUUCCUUGAACCGCAUGGUUCAAGGAUGAAAGACGGUUUCGGCUGUCACUUACAGAUGGACCCGCGGCGCAUUAGCUAGUUGGUGGGGUAAUGGCUCACCAAGGCGACGAUGCGUAGCCGACCUGAGAGGGUGAUCGGCCACACUGGGACUGAGACACGGCCCAGACUCCUACGGGAGGCAGCAGUAGGGAAUCUUCCGCAAUGGACGAAAGUCUGACGGAGCAACGCCGCGUGAGUGAUGAAGGUUUUCGGAUCGUAAAGCUCUGUUGUUAGGGAAGAACAAGUGCGAGAGUAAYUGCUCGCACCUUGACGGUACCUAACCAGAAAGCCACGGCUAACUACGUGCCAGCAGCCGCGGUAAUACGUAGGUGGCAAGCGUUGUCCGGAAUUAUUGGGCGUAAAGGGCUCGCAGGCGGUUUCUUAAGUCUGAUGUGAAAGCCCCCGGCUCAACCGGGGAGGGUCAUUGGAAACUGGGAAACUUGAGUGCAGAAGAGGAGAGUGGAAUUCCACGUGUAGCGGUGAAAUGCGUAGAGAUGUGGAGGAACACCAGUGGCGAAGGCGACUCUCUGGUCUGUAACUGACGCUGAGGAGCGAAAGCGUGGGGAGCGAACAGGAUUAGAUACCCUGGUAGUCCACGCCGUAAACGAUGAGUGCUAGUGUUAGGGGUUUCCGCCCCUUAGUGCUGCAGCUACGCAUUAGCACUCGCUGGGGAGUACGUCGCAGACUGAACUCAAGAUGACGGGGCCGCMAGCGUGAGCAUGUGCUUAUCGAGCACGCGAGACCUACCAGGUCUGMMUCUCUGAMACCUARAGAWGGCUC